This 475-nucleotide ribosomal RNA is filed under the name uncultured organism. RNAcentral describes it as "partial 16S ribosomal RNA". It matches the Rfam family "Bacterial small subunit ribosomal RNA", at positions 332 to 800 of the family's 1533-position model. The record is from RNAcentral.
UACACUCCUGCGGGAGGCAGCAGUGGGGAAUUUUGGACAAUGGGCGAAAGCCUGAUCCAGCAAUGCCGCGUGAGUGAAGAAGGCCUUCGGGUUGUAAAGCUCUUUUGUCAGGGAAGAAACGGUGAGAGCUAAUAUCUCUUGCUAAUGACGGUACCUGAAGAAUAAGCACCGGCUAACUACGUGCCAGCAGCCGCGGUAAUACGUAGGGUGCAAGCGUUAAUCGGAAUUACUGGGCGUAAAGCGUGCGCAGGCGGUUUUGUAAGUCUGAUGUGAAAUCCCCGGGCUCAACCUGGGAAUUGCAUUGGAGACUGCAAGGAUAGAAUCUGGCAGAGGGGUAGAAUUCCACGUGUAGCAGUGAAAUGCGUAGAUAUGUGGAGGAACACCGAUGGCGAAGGCAGCCCCCUGGGUCAAGAUUGACGCUCAUGCACGAAAGCGUGGGGAGCAAACAGGAUUAGAAACCCCAGUAGUCCCAUGA